RNAcentral lists this ribosomal RNA (449 nucleotides) under uncultured bacterium. RNAcentral describes it as "bacterial SSU rRNA". It matches the Rfam family "Bacterial small subunit ribosomal RNA", at positions 331 to 794 of the family's 1533-position model. The record is from RNAcentral.
CCAGACUCCUACGGGAGGCAGCAGUGGGGAAUAUUGCACAAUGGGGGGAACCCUGAUGCAGCAACGCCGCGUGAGUGAAGAAGGCAUUCGUGUCGUAAAACUCUGUAGUAGGGGAAGAAAGAAAUGACAGUACCCUAAAAGAAAGCCCCGGCUAACUACGUGCCAGCAGCCGCGGUAAUACGUAGGGGGCAAGCGUUAUCCGGAAUAACUGGGCGUAAAGGGUGCGCAGGUGGUUUAACAAGUUAGUGGUGAAAGGCAUAGGCUCAACCAAUGUAAGCCAUUAAAACUGUUUAACUUGAGUGCAGGAGAGGAAAGUGGAAUUCCUAGUGUAGCGGUGAAAUGCGUAGAUAUUAGGAGGAAUACCAGUGGCGAAGGCGACUUUCUGGACUGCAACUGACACUGAGGCACGAAAGCGUGGGGAGCAAACAGGAUUAGAUACCCUGGUAGGU